Molecule: long non-coding RNA, 914 nt
Filed under: Olea europaea subsp. europaea
Lineage: Eukaryota; Viridiplantae; Streptophyta; Magnoliopsida; Lamiales; Oleaceae
Source: RNAcentral
CGACAAAUUUUUGGACUACAAGAUGGUAGAUUCCAAAAUCUUGAUUAGCCAGGUGUAAGAGAUUUAAGUCUUGUUGCAUGACAUCCAUGCCAAUAAAAUAGAAUUGAGUGAAUCAUUCCAAGUGGUUGUCAUUAUUGAGAAACUCCCUCUUGUGUGGAGAGAUUUCAAAAAUUACCUUAAGCACAAAUACAAGGAAAUGAAUUUGGAAGAAUUGAUUGUGCGCUUGAGGAUUGAAAAGGACAAUUGAAAAAUCGAACAAAGGCCGGUUGAUCAAGAUGGUGCAAAUUUUGUUGAAAUGGAACCAAAGACAAGAAACAAGAAACGAAAGGCUCGUAAUUAUGCACCGCGAAGAGACAAUUCCAAGAAGGCUAAGAAGUUCAAAGGAAAUUGUUACAACUGUGGCAAGACUGGACAUCAUUCAAGUGAAUGUCAAAAGUCAAAGAAGAAUGCUCAAACCCACAUGGUUGCAAAUAACACUCUAUCCGAUGGACUGCAAGAAAUGAGUUUAUCUGUAGUAGUGUCCGAAUGCAACAUGAUUGGAAAUACUAGAGAAUGGUGAAUUGACACCGGCGCUACUCGUCAUGUGUGUGCGGACAAGACGAUAUUCUCCAACUAUCAAGAUUUGAAUGGGGAACAACUAUAGAUGGAAAAUUCUGCAAGUUCCAAAGUUGAAGGACAAUGCAAAGUCACUUUGAAGAUGACAUCCGGGAAAGAACUCGUUAUCAACAAUGUCCUACAUAUGCUGGAUAUACGAAAGAAUUUAGUGUCCGGGUCUCUACUUAGCAAGAAUGAUUUUAAACUUAUAUUUGUAUCUGAUAAAUUUGUGUUGUCUAAGAAUGAGAUGUAUGUAGGGAAAUGAUACAUGUGUGAUGGAAUGUUCAAGUUGAACGUUCGUACAAUUGUAUCGAAGUAAG